Molecule: ribosomal RNA, 1468 nt
Filed under: uncultured fungus
Lineage: Eukaryota; Fungi
Description: eukaryotic LSU rRNA
Rfam family: Eukaryotic large subunit ribosomal RNA (bases 726-1468)
Source: RNAcentral
UUUUACACUCACCGAGAACUGUUGUAUCCCCUGUUGUAGAACAUAGGUGGACUGAGAGUGGAAUGGUGUGAGAUUUAUCUCUUCCUCCCAGACCUACGAUAGUUCGACUAUCAGCCAUUGUCUACAAACAGAAGAUGAAUUGCGGCUGCUUAUUAAGCCUGCACCUUGGCUUGCAGUCCGUGGUGACCUUAUUCACCCCUUUUACUAUAUAAUUUCUGAUGUGUAUGUUUAUAAAUGAUUCCUAACUUCGGUUGGUUGAGUCGCUUAUAAAUGUCGUAUAAUUUUAAUACGAAACAACUCUUAGCAACGGAUAUCUUGGUUCUCGUAACGAUGAAGAGCGCAGCGAAAUGCGAUACGUAAUGCGAAUUGCAGAAUUCAGUGAAUCAUCAAAUUCUUGAACGCAACUGGCGCCUUCAGGUCUACCUGGAGGCACGUUUCUCUCAGUGUCGGUAUCACUCUCUCCAACUACUAAGUUUACUUAGACCAGUUUGGGAAAAUGAGUGUUAUGAUACUUGCUAUCAUAUCGCUUUAAAUACCAUGAGUUAGUUCCUCUUAGUUGGGAGUCUCUUCGGAGAUAACCGCUAUUAACGACUUAGUGAUGUGGGUAAAUCGUCUUCGGAUGAUACUUCACAUCAAUGCUAGGCUGUUAAUGGUUCACUAAGUGUGAAUUAGCGCAACUUGCAGAUUUACUGAUAGUACUUGUACUGUUAGAAUUUCUCAUAUUUUGACCUGAGAUGAAGCGAGGCAACCCGCGGAAUUUAAGCAUAUUAUUACGCGGAGGAAAAGAAACUAACAAGGAUUCCCCUAGUAACGGCGAGUGAAGCGGGAAGAGCUCAAGUUUUAAAAUCGAUGUGCUUGCACUUCGAAUUGUAGUCUCGAGACAUGCUGUCUGCGGUGACGUCGGUACAAGUACCUUGGAAGAGGUUAUCAGAGAGGGUGACAAUCCCGUCGCUGACCGACAGAUCGCCGCUUUCGACGUAUGUUCACAGAGUCGGAUUGCUUGGGAGUGCAGUCCUAAUUGGGUGGUAAAUUUCAUCUAAAGCUAAAUAACGACGAGAGACCGAUAGCGAACAAGUACCGUGAGGGAAAGAUGAAAAGAACUUUGAAAAGAGAGUCAAAAAGUACUUGAACUUGUUAAGAGGGAAGAGUUGAAAACUAGUAUUGCUCGUAGUUACUUUCCCGUUCUGACUGAAACGUGUGCGUAUACCGAGAUCAAACCGUGAUGCGUAUUCGAAUUAGUUGGAGCGGUCCCUGUAGUUAUGAGUAGGUCAGCAUCAUUUCGAAGUGUGGGAGAAAGCUAUGUGGAAGGUAGGGUCUUCGGACCUGUUAUAGACAUGUAGCCAUACCAUGCUUUGGAUUGAGGAUGUAUCGACGCUCCGUUUUACGGAGUGACCACUUGCUACCUCAUAUGCUCUAAGUGCUGGAAAACAAUGUUUUGCUGUGUUUAGGGUGUGUGACUGUGGUAAGG